This 396-nucleotide ribosomal RNA is filed under the name uncultured bacterium. RNAcentral describes it as "partial 16S ribosomal RNA". It matches the Rfam family "Bacterial small subunit ribosomal RNA", at positions 523 to 917 of the family's 1533-position model. The record is from RNAcentral.
AUACGUAGGUGACAAGCGUUAUCCGGAUUUACUGGGCGUAAAGGGCGUGUAGGCGGUCUUGCAAGUCAGAAGUGAAAUUCCUGAGCUCAACUCGGGCGCUGCUUCUGAAACUGCAGGACUUGAGUGCUGGAGGGGAUAGCGGAAUUCCUAGUGGAGCGGUAAAAUGCGCAGAUAUUAGGAAGAACACCGGUGGCGAAGGCGUCUACCUUGCCAAUAACGGAAUCUGAGGGGCGAAAUCGGGGUGAGCAAACAGGAUUUGAUACCCUGGUACUCCACGCCGUAAACGAUGAAUACUAGGUGUAGGGGGUAUCGACGCCCUCUGUGCCGCAGUUAACAAAAUCAGUAUUCCGCCUGGGUAGUACGGCCGCAAGGUUGAAACUCAAAUGAAUUGACGGG